Molecule: ribosomal RNA, 423 nt
Filed under: uncultured Cytophaga sp.
Lineage: Bacteria; Pseudomonadati; Bacteroidota; Cytophagia; Cytophagales; Cytophagaceae
Description: bacterial SSU rRNA
Rfam family: Bacterial small subunit ribosomal RNA
Source: RNAcentral
CCUACGGGAGGCAGCAGUGAGGAAUAUUGGACAAUGGUCGGGAGACUGAUCCAGCCAUGCCGCGUGCAGGAAGACUGCCCUAUGGGUUGUAAACUGCUUUUGUACGAGAAGAAUAAGGGGUACGUGUACCCUGAUGACGGUAUCGUAGGAAUAAGCAUCGGCUAACUCCGUGCCAGCAGCCGCGGUAAUACGGAGGAUGCAAGCGUUAUCCGGAAUCAUUGGGUUUAAAGGGUCCGUAGGCGGGCUGUUAAGUCAGGGGUGAAAGUUUGCCGCUUAACGGUAAAAUUGCCUUUGAUACUGGCGGUCUUGAAUGUGUGUGAAGUGAUUAGAAUAUGUAGUGUAGCGGUGAAAUGCAUAGAUAUUACAUAGAAUACCGAUUGCGAAGGCAGGUCACUAACACAUUAUUGACGCUGAUGGACGAAA